GCAAGUCGAACGGCAGCACGGGAGCAAUCCUGGUGGCGAGUGGCGAACGGGUGAGUAAUAUAUCGGAACGUGCCCAGUCGUGGGGGAUAACGCAGCGAAAGCUGUGCUAAUACCGCAUACGAUCUAUGGAUGAAAGCGGGGGACUCGCAAGAGCCUCGCGCGAUUGGAGCGGCCGAUAUCAGAUUAGCUUGUUGGUGGGGUAAAAGCCCACCAAGGCGACGAUCUGUAGCUGGUCUGAGAGGACGACCAGCCACACUGGAACUGAGACACGGUCCAGACUCCUACGGGAGGCAGCAGUGGGGAAUUUUGGACAAUGGGCGCAAGCCUGAUCCAGCAAUGCCGCGUGCAGGAUGAAGGCCUUCGGGUUGUAAACUGCUUUUGUACGGAACGAAACGGCUCUCUCUAAUAAAGGGGGCUAAUGACGGUACCGUAAGAAUAAGCACCGGCUAACUACGUGCCAGCAGCCGCGGUAAUACGAAGGGACCUAGCGUAGUUCGGAAUUACUGGGCGUAAAGCGCGCGUAGGCCGUUGAGUUAGUUAAUUGUGAAAUCCCAAAGCUUAACUUUGGAACUGCAAUUAAAACUGCUCGACUAGAGUUUGAUAGAGGAAAGCGGAAUACAUAGUGUAGAGGUGAAAUUCGUAGAUAUUAUGUAGAACACCAGUUGCGAAGGCGGCUUUCUGGAUCAACACUGACGCUGAGGCGCGAAAGUAUGGGUAGCAAAGAGGAUUAGAUACCCUCGUAGUCCAUACCAUAAACGAUGAUUGCUAGAUGUUGGAAAUUUAUUUUCAGUAUCGCAGCUAACGCAUUAAGCAAUCCGCCUGGGGAGUACGACCGCAAGGUUAAAACUCAAAUGAAUUGACGGGGACCCGCACAAGCGGUGGAGCAUGUGGUUUAAUUCGAAGAUACGCGCAGAACCUUACCACCCUUGACAUGUCUGUCGCGAGUUUAGGAACUAGACUUUU
This 963-nucleotide ribosomal RNA is filed under the name uncultured Burkholderiales bacterium. RNAcentral describes it as "bacterial SSU rRNA". It matches the Rfam family "Bacterial small subunit ribosomal RNA", at positions 57 to 1016 of the family's 1533-position model. The record is from RNAcentral. Lineage: Bacteria; Pseudomonadati; Pseudomonadota; Betaproteobacteria; Burkholderiales.